GUGAAUCAUCGAAUUUUUGAACGCAAAUUGCACUCUCUUCGGAGAGUAUGCCUGUUUGAGGGUCAGCAUAAAAAAAAUCGACAUUGUUGCUGUUUCGUGGUGGCGUUCGUCGGAAAUUGGGUUAUCUUAAAUUUUUUGGUUUUAAGCGACUUAUAAUAUUCUAUGAUUCAUUGAACGUUUAUAAGAUUAUUUUUUUUUAUGUUUAAGGUAUCGAUUUUUAUUAGGUGUGGCAGUCAUACAGAUCGUGUCCAUAAUCGUUAAUUGACUUCAG
RNAcentral lists this unclassified non-coding RNA (271 nucleotides) under Glomeraceae sp. RNAcentral's name for it is "partial contains 5.8S ribosomal RNA and internal transcribed spacer 2". The stretch from base 1 to 65 matches the Rfam family "5.8S ribosomal RNA", at positions 84 to 154 of the family's 154-position model. Lineage: Eukaryota; Fungi; Glomeromycota; Glomeromycetes; Glomerales; Glomeraceae. The record is from RNAcentral.